GUUUCAUCGCAGACUCUGUAUUUGACAGAUGAUUCGAAUAUAGCAAUUUUCCCGGCACAGUCGGGUUAUUUCAGUGCCCUAGACUUCACUGCACGUGGGCAUUAUGAGGUCCAUGGGGAUGAAGUGGAGAAAGGGGUUCUCACCCCAGGAACACCCCUCUCAACCCCAACAGCCUCCCAGCGUUUCUCCUUUACACGCAAUACUCCACCCUCUGCAGCUGCUGGUUCACCUGCGGCGGCUGUUGCAGGACCUCCGAAAGCCGCCAUGACUCGAUCAUUUCAGAGGUAACUUAUCGUUAUUUUAUUUAUGCAUGUUAUGUUAGAAAGAUUCUCAGUAAAGCUUUGAAAAACAGCUAUAUUUCAUUUAUAUUGAUAAUUUUCACAGUCAAAAGACACUACUAUUUUAUUUUAGACACUACUAUUUGUAUCAUGGGCACCAAAAUGUCGAAAAGCACACAGGUUCAGUUGGCUCCAUGUAGCAUAAUUUAUUAACAAAAACGCCUAAAAAUUUAGUGAUUUAUACUUUAGUUUGUGUGUGUGUGUGUGAAAGAGAAAUUAAAUUCUGAAUUUGUCAUGUGCAUAAUGUCUCCAGAUCCAUUUACAUAGCUGAUUUAGUAAACGGCAAACUGAGGCCAAGCAGGAUGGUGGUAGUUCGUUUCAUGGAAUGUGAGGCUACAGUACAUGGCAUUAUUGGGAAAGUUCAAGAUGCUCUUGGCAGUUAUGAUCCUGUAAUUCUCACCGAUGCCCAGGGCAAUGAGAUACUUGACUCUGAAGGAACUAAAGGAUCCAUCUACUGGAAGCAAAAUGCCCGCAAGGUAUUUGCCAUUGCAGAGCACGACUUCACAGAAUUUCAAGGCAGCAAGAGGAAAAGAAGCUCAAGUCGGAAAGAUGAUGAAACAUCAAGUCUACAAGAUGUCUAUGAUAAGAUAGAAGAAGUGGUGCUGGCGUCACAGGGCCUUCAGCAAGUUAUCUCAACUAUCAAAGAGCUUUCUGAGCUGUCCAGUCAAACACCUGCCAAAACCUUGACUGAAGUCCAAACAGAGAAAAUAAAAGCAGCUUUCACUUGCAUAGUCUGCAAAGGACCCAUUGAUCAACCAGUAUUUGCCACCUGCUGUAGAAGCCUGAUCGGAUGCAAACUUUGUGUUGAUCAAUGGAUGGCUACUUCAUCACAGUGCUUAAAAUGCAGAGAGGAAGCUCUUAGCAACCACAUCUUUCUUGCAGCAGGUCUCUCUGAAGCUUUGUUAGCUCUUGGUGACAUCAUUAGGGUAGAGUAGGCCUACAUUACCCAGGAAAAAAUGUUUAGCUGUUCAGCAAUUCAAGUUUAGUUCAGUAGUUUAUUUGACAGUUGUUGUGUAAAGUUUUGUUGCACAACUACUUAAAACAAGAAGUAAAAAGAAAUACUUUAAUUUAUCAGCAUCAUGUUGAUGCUUAAAUUUGUGUGUAAUAUUUUGUUUCUAGAAAAAACACUUGAUGGAAAGCAGCAUUGAACAAUUAGAAGGCAUGCUCUUUAAGAGUAUCUUUGAGUUAAAUUUACUAAACAGACCAAAGCCUCUUUAAAAGGCAAAAAGUUUUUGUUGACCGUAUUAUUGAGCAAGUAAGUGAUGUCUGGCCACUUUUCUGAAAACAGUUGUUCCACUGUAGCCUUCUCAUGUUCACUUGUAAAAGGGUCUGUUCCAAAGGCCGAAACCCUUGUCAAAGAUGAUCCCAGUGUGUUCAUGUACAGAUCAGCUGCUUCAGUUCCAUGAGGCAGUAGUGCUGCUGAGAUUUUUUUUGCACAACCACCCUGUGCAAUCUGGUUGGGGAUUCCUUUUCCUGUAGUAAAUGGGACAUGUUAACUUGUAAUAAAUGUUUAAAUGUCAACUGCUUGUCA
Cyprinus carpio (common carp) is the source of this 1869-nucleotide long non-coding RNA. The record is from Ensembl. NCBI's taxonomy places the organism in Eukaryota, Metazoa, Chordata, Actinopteri, Cypriniformes, Cyprinidae.